RNAcentral lists this ribosomal RNA (462 nucleotides) under uncultured bacterium. RNAcentral's name for it is "partial 16S ribosomal RNA". It matches the Rfam family "Bacterial small subunit ribosomal RNA", at positions 28 to 507 of the family's 1533-position model. The record is from RNAcentral.
GACGAACGCUGGCGGCGUGCUUAACACAUGCAAGUCGAACGGAAAGGCCCUUCGGGGUACUCGAGUGGCGAACGGGUGAGUAACACGUGGGUGAUCUGCCCUGCACUUUGGGAUAAGCCUGGGAAACUGGGUCUAAUACCGAAUAGGACCACGCGCUUCAUGGUGUGUGGUGGAAAGCUUUUGCGGUGUGGGAUGGGCCCGCGGCCUAUCAGCUUGUUGGUGGGGUAAUGGCCUACCAAGGCGACGACGGGUAGCCGGCCUGAGAGGGUGACCGGCCACACUGGGACUGAGAUAGGGCCCAGACUCCUACGGGAGGCAGCAGUGGGGAAUAUUGCACAAUGGGCGCAAGCCUGAUGCAGCGACGCCGCGUGAGGGAUGACGGCCUUCGGGUUGUAAACCUCUUUCAAUAGGGACGAAGCGAAAGUGACGGUACCUAUAGAAGAAGCACCGGCCAACUACGUG